CUGCGCAUUAUGAAGCGGCUGAUGCCCAACUAGAUGAAUGAGUUGCAUAAGCAAUGGCUUAGUUUGUGAUUUAUAUGGAGCCUCAGAACUUGCUGCAUCAUAGUUGUAUUGUUCCUCACACACCUGAACCAUGCCUACCCUCACUUGAUGUUUGGUUAAGAAAUUUAGCACCUGGUAUUAAUUCUAGCCUUUCGCUCUUUCAUAUGUGGCAUCAUUGAGGGUUAUUUUCUAAUUGAUUUAGCAAGUUUAGGUUCCAGAAUUUGGUUACUUCCAUCGCCGAAACUGAAACUGAAACUGUACUGCUAUUCAUUGAGAAGUUGUUAGCUACAAUUUCUUUAAGAAAUGUGGAUGCAGAAUUAUUUUAAAGUAACUUAUAAGGUAUUGCCCGUAUAUCUAUGGUUAUUUAUGAAUAGAUGAUAGGUUGCUUGUAUCCUCAUUUGUUCUGUGUGGACAAGUAGAACAAUGUGUAAUUAAUACGAAAAUUAACAAAGCUUGUUUUACAUUAACUUACAUGAUAGUUCUUAUAUCUACAUUUAUAUAUGCACACCUCAGAAGAUGAUUCUAGCCUCAUUCGUUAUGUGUUCUCAGGUUAAGCAACAUGGAGUUUAAAAAUUAGCAAAGCAGUGGUCGCCUCCUAUGUUAUCAAAGAUGUUUGUGACCAUACACAUUACAUUGAAACCAUACGGCUACACCUGGACAUGAAUGUAAGUGAAAUAAAGUGUUAAAGUGUAUUUACGUGCUAUGACUGUUUAUUGUAUUUUACUCUUUUUUGGUAAAGUUCAUUGACUAAUAAUUUGUGUAGUGGUAAGAUAAACUUUCAAAACUCAGUAUCAAAGGGGAGGUACUAAAAUGGGAACUUUAUGUAGAAAUAAUGCCCUCACAGAUGAAGAAAUAUACUCCCUCCGUCCCAAAAUUAGUGACUCAACUUUUACUAGCUUUUUAAAAUAAGUGACUCAAUUUUAUACUAGCUUUAGUACAAAGUUAGUACAAAGUCGAGUCACUUAUUUUGGGACGGAGGGAGUACUAUCUUAGUUUCAUUCCUGUCAUUGGCUAGGAUCACAUCCAGUAAGUAAAAGACAUACAAACCAUGCGGUGGUCUAAUAAACAUUAUUUGGAGUCUUGAUAUUCCAAUAGUAUAGAAAUGGUUAUGUAAGAUACAGUUGAAAGCACAAGUGCUCCCUGGGCAAUUUUGGUAAUUUAUGUCAACAUAUCUUUUGUUGGACUAAUACUUUCAUCCAGUAUAUUUCAGAUGAGUUCAACAGUGGAGUGGCAUGGACAAAAGGAUGUGGAACCCCUUCAAGAUGCUAACGACAAAGGAUUGGCUCAAGCUCAAAAGCUCAGGACUCUACCUUUUCCAUUUUAGUGAUCCAAGAUCACAUUGAGUCUAUAGGAAAGCCAAUACUAUUAAAAGGGGAUGAGGUGUUGCUUAAUGCCUUGCUUGCUCAAAAUGCUUAGUGAUAUGCUCACAGCCCUCAACCACUUUCUCAUAUCCACAUUUGUCCAAAACUAAAAUUCAAACUCGGCCCCAUUGAUUUGAUCCAUCCGACGCCACCGAGUUCAUUUGACAUAGUCACUGCCAGAAAUCCUAGUCUUUUCGGUCUUAACGAUAGGGAUCUCGGUCUCACCGAGAUGGGAUUGCAAACUCUCUGUUUCCCUUCGUAACAUUUCGGUCUAACUGAGAUAGGCGAAUCGGUCCCAUCGAGUCUGCAAUGCAAACUCUCUGUUUCUUUUUCGUAACGCUUUGGUCCCACUGAGAUGAGCGAAUCGGUCCCACCGAGUUUGCCUGACCAACUCUCUGGUUAGCUUAUUACCAA
Molecule: long non-coding RNA, 1814 nt
Filed under: Triticum aestivum (bread wheat)
Lineage: Eukaryota; Viridiplantae; Streptophyta; Magnoliopsida; Poales; Poaceae
Description: long non-coding RNA (TAES_LNC021999)
Source: RNAcentral